GUUAAAUACCACAAACCAAAGUUGCAUUAGUUAUCUCGACCUUAUUUUUCUUAUGUGCCUAAUUGAGCUACAUACUUAUGCGGAUAUUACUUUUUCAUAAGCGGCCCACAAAUAUUAAUAGUAAUAUUUAUGUGGAAGUUAUGUUACAGCUCUACUUUCUGCACAAUUGGAGGAAUAAUGCACGAUUGUUCCUUACAGUCUGAACGAUUGUAGGAACUUCUAAUUAUG
RNAcentral lists this unclassified non-coding RNA (228 nucleotides) under Hevea brasiliensis (rubber tree). Lineage: Eukaryota; Viridiplantae; Streptophyta; Magnoliopsida; Malpighiales; Euphorbiaceae. The record is from RNAcentral.